Molecule: ribosomal RNA, 159 nt
Filed under: Acacia tumida
Lineage: Eukaryota; Viridiplantae; Streptophyta; Magnoliopsida; Fabales; Fabaceae
Description: 5.8S ribosomal RNA
Rfam family: 5.8S ribosomal RNA
About the family: 5.8S ribosomal RNA (5.8S rRNA) is a component of the large subunit of the eukaryotic ribosome.
Source: RNAcentral
CGACUCUCGGCAACGGAUAUCUCGGCUCUCGCAUCGACGAAGAACGUAGCGAAAUGCGAUACUUGGUGUGAAUUGCAGAAUCCCGUGAACCAUCGAGUCUUUGAACGCAAGUUGCGCCCGAAGCCGUCAGGCCGAGGGCACGCCUGCCUGGGUGUCACG